UACGUAGGGUGCAAGCGUUAAUCGGAAUUACUGGGCGUAAAGCGUGCGCAGGCGGUGAUGUAAGACAGGUGUGAAAUCCCCGGGCUCAACUUGGAAACUGCAUUUGUGACUGCAUCGCUGGAGUGCGGCAGAGGGGGAUGGAAUUCCGCGUGUAGCGGUGAAAUGCGUAGAUAUCUGGAGGAACACCGGUGGCGAAGGCGGCAUCCUGGACCGACACUGACACUGAGGAGCGAAAGCCAGGGGAGCAAACGGG
Molecule: ribosomal RNA, 253 nt
Filed under: uncultured bacterium
Lineage: Bacteria
Description: partial 16S ribosomal RNA
Rfam family: Bacterial small subunit ribosomal RNA
Source: RNAcentral